RNAcentral lists this ribosomal RNA (492 nucleotides) under uncultured bacterium. RNAcentral's name for it is "partial 16S ribosomal RNA". It matches the Rfam family "Bacterial small subunit ribosomal RNA", at positions 29 to 507 of the family's 1533-position model. The record is from RNAcentral.
AGUGAACGCUGGCGGUAGGCCUAACACAUGCAAGUCGAACGGCAGCACAGUAAGAGCUUGCUCUUACGGGUGGCGAGUGGCGGACGGGUGAGGAAUACAUCGGAAUCUACUUUUUCGUGGGGGAUAACGUAGGGAAACUUACGCUAAUACCGCAUACGACCUACGGGUGAAAGCAGGGGAUCUUCGCACCUUGCGCGAUGGAAUGAGCCGAUGUCGGAUUAGCUAGGUGGCGGGGUAAAGGCCCACCAAGGCGACGAUCCGUAGCGGACCUGAGAGGGUGAUCGGCCACACUGGGACUGAGACACGGUCCAGACUCCUACGGGAGGCAGCAGUGGGGAAUGUUCCGCAAUGGGCGAAAGCCUGACGGAGCACAGCCGCGUGAGUGAUGAAGGCCUUCGGCUCGUAAAACUAUGUUAGUAGGGAAGAACAAAUGUGUAAGUAACUAUGCACGUAUUGACGGUACCCACACAGAAAGCCCCGGCUAACUACGUG